RNAcentral lists this ribosomal RNA (157 nucleotides) under Pellioditis ehrenbaumi. RNAcentral describes it as "5.8S ribosomal RNA". It matches the Rfam family "5.8S ribosomal RNA". From Rfam's summary of the family: 5.8S ribosomal RNA (5.8S rRNA) is a component of the large subunit of the eukaryotic ribosome. It is transcribed by RNA polymerase I as part of the 45S precursor that also contains 18S and 28S rRNA. Lineage: Eukaryota; Metazoa; Nematoda; Chromadorea; Rhabditida; Rhabditidae. The record is from RNAcentral.
UACUAGUGUUAGUGAUGGAUCGGUCGAUUCGUGCUUCGAUGAAGAACGCAGCCAGCUGCGUUAUAUACUUCGAAUUGCAGACGCUAUGAGAAGUAAACUUUCGAACGCAUAGCGCCGCGGUGGCUUCCAAGCCUCGUGGCACGUUUGGUUCAGGGUU